Bemisia tabaci is the source of this 1224-nucleotide long non-coding RNA. RefSeq lists it as uncharacterized. The record is from RefSeq and is a predicted model, not a curated record. NCBI's taxonomy places the organism in Eukaryota, Metazoa, Arthropoda, Insecta, Hemiptera, Aleyrodidae.
UAAUCAAAAAUCUUGACAGCGCUCCCAUAAAUUUUGACUUUGACACCAAGUUUAUCACAGCGAAAUCUCAGUCGGGCCGAUCGGAAAUAAACAGGCGUCACUAUUGUUGAACUUCACCGUCUGAUAACAAGAAGCGGGACGCUAAACACGAUUGCAAACAUGAAGACAUUGGCGAUUCUGCUGUUAUUCCUCAUCGUGCUUGGGUUCUUUGGCUGUUCCAUCGGGACACCAAAUCCAAACCGUUUGACCGGCAAACAAGCUCAUCCAACACCCGAACAGGAACAGGACGAAACUCCUCCUGAGAAUUAGAUAGCUUAAUAGAGAUUUUUCGAAACCCACAAGGAAGAGUACUCCGGAUAGUAGAUUUUCAUGGAAUUAUGAGCAACGCUGUAUCAUUGGGACUGUCUUGACUGGACGCGAGGUGAAUCUAUGUCGGGUCUGAGCAAACAUCUAUAGAUCGAAAAAAAAAAAUUCUAAAUUACUGGUUUCACUUUUUGCACAAAAAGGAUCCAUUACGCCCAGAGACAUAUUUCAGUUGUUUCAUUCCCGCAAAUUGUAUCUGUAAACCCUAAAAGUAAGCUGUAAAUGCGAUAAUUAAUCGUUGCAUAUGACGAAUCAAAUAGAAUAUUUUGCAUUCGGAAUCUAACAUAUUUAUUUUAUGAUUUUCAUUAUUUUGGGGUUUACCAUGGGGGUAAAAAUAAAUGUUCGUUCGUGUGUUUAUUUAUACAUUUAUUUAUAGGUGCUUUAACAAAGCUGGGCCAUAAGCACCUAGAGAAUGUUUUUGGAAUGAAUGACUGCAAUUAGCUUCUAUAGGCGCAAUGGAUAUCUGUUGGUUGUAAAACAUCGGGUGAAACCAGUAGUCUUAGGAAUUUUUUUUUCUUUUUUUUUUGAACAACGAACACCUUGAUAAUCGAUUCUUUACCACGGAUUUAAAUGGGGAUUUACCACGCAUUCAAAUACCGUUAAUCGAUUAUUCACGCCACGCCACUGUUAGCUCUGUAUUAUUCAAAGGACACUAAUUUUUGGUGUCUAUUAAAACCUCUCAAUUUAAGUAUUUUCAACCUCUGUUUUCAUUUGUUUUACUUAUUCUUUCAUUUGUUUUCUCUUUAGAAUAAUGUGGACCCAAUAAUAUUCCAACAUCCUGCUUUGAACUUAAAUGUAUAAUUCCAUUGACUUCAUGUAAUAUAUUGGAACCUUAUUAAUCAGAAUUCAGAUAAAAUCGAA